CUACGGGCGGCAGCAGUGAGGAAUAUUGCACAAUGGGGGGAACCCUGAUGCAGCAACGCCGCGUGGAGGAUGACGCAUUUCGGUGUGUAAACUCCUUUUAUAUGUCAAGAAAAUGACGGUAGCAUAUGAAUAAGCACCGGCUAACUCCGUGCCAGCAGCCGCGGUAAUACGGAGGGUGCAAGCGUUACUCGGAAUCACUGGGCGUAAAGGACGCGUAGGCGGGCUUGUAAGUCAGGUGUGAAAUCCUACAGCUUAACUGUAGAACUGCACUUGAAACUACGAGCCUAGAGUAUGGGAGGGGGAGAUGGAAUUAGUGGUGUAGGGGGUAAAAUCCGUAGAUAUCACUAGGAAUACCUAAAGCGAAGGCGAUCUCCUGGAACAUAACUGACGCUAAGGCGUGAAAGCGUGGGGAGCAAACAGGAUUAGAUACCCGCGUAGUC
Molecule: ribosomal RNA, 440 nt
Filed under: uncultured bacterium
Lineage: Bacteria
Description: partial 16S ribosomal RNA
Rfam family: Bacterial small subunit ribosomal RNA
Source: RNAcentral